UCUGGGCUUGGUGGUGUGUGCCUGUAGUCCCAGCUACUCCAGAGGCUGAGGUGGAAGGAUGGCUUGAGCCCAGGAGUUCUGGGCUGUAGUGCGCUAUGCCGAUCAGGUGUCCGCACUAAGUUUGGCAUCAAUAUGGUGACCUCCUGGGAGCAGGGGACCUCACCAGGUUGCCUAAGGAGGGGUGAACCGGCCCAGGUCAGACAUGGAGCAGGUCAAAACUCCCGUGCUGAUCAGUAGUGGGAUCGUGCCUGUGAAUAGCCACUGCACUCCAGCCUGGGCUACAUAAUGAGACCCAUCUCU
RNAcentral lists this signal recognition particle RNA (300 nucleotides) under Aotus nancymaae (Ma's night monkey). RNAcentral's name for it is "Metazoan signal recognition particle RNA (ENSANAG00000002580.1)". It matches the Rfam family "Metazoan signal recognition particle RNA". Rfam says of the family: The signal recognition particle (SRP) is a universally conserved ribonucleoprotein. It is involved in the co-translational targeting of proteins to membranes. Lineage: Eukaryota; Metazoa; Chordata; Mammalia; Primates; Aotidae. The record is from RNAcentral.